RNAcentral lists this ribosomal RNA (957 nucleotides) under uncultured euryarchaeote. RNAcentral describes it as "bacterial SSU rRNA". It matches the Rfam family "Archaeal small subunit ribosomal RNA", at positions 372 to 1332 of the family's 1478-position model. The record is from RNAcentral. Lineage: Archaea; Methanobacteriati; Methanobacteriota.
GGGGGGAUCCUGAGUGCUUACACAUUUGUGUAAGCUUUUGCCAAGAGUUCACAUCUUGGAGAAUAAGUGGUGGGUAAGACCGGUGCCAGCAGCCGCGGUAACCCCGGCGCCACGAGUGGCAAUCUUAUAUUGGGCCUAAAGCAUUCGUAGCCGGAUUAAAAAAUCUCUUGUGAAAUUGUCGAACUCAAUACGACAGCAUGCAGGAGACACUUUUAGUCUAGAGACUGGGAGGUGUUGGGAGUAUGCCUAGGGGAGCGGUUAAAUGUGAUAAUCCUAGGUAGACUACCUGUGGCGAAGGCGCCCAACAAGAACAGUUCUGACGGUGAGGGAUGAAAGCUAGGGGAGCGAUCCGGAUUAGAUACCCAAGUAGUCCUAGCUGUAAACACUGUGAGCUAGGUGUCGCAUAUUCUACGAGAAUAUGCGGUGUCGAAAAGAAGUUGAUAAGCUCGCCGCCUGGGAAGUACGGUCGCAAGACUGAAACUUAAAGGAAUUGGCGGGGGAAUACACCAGGAGUGCGGCGUGCGGUUUAAUCUAACUCAACGCAGAACACCUUACUAGAAGCGACGGCAGGAUGAAGAUCAGUCUGAAGGGCUUAUCUGACGAGCCGAGAGGUAGUGCAUGGCCGCCGUCAGCUCGUGUCGUAAGAUGUCCUGUUAAGUCAGGCAACGAGCAAGACCUGUACCUAUAAUUGCUAACGGGCCCUUCGGGGUGACUGAGCACAUUAUAGGGACUGCCUUCGUAAGGAGGAGGAAGGUGCAGGCAACGGUAGGUCUGUAUGCUCCGAAUCUUCUAGGCUACACGCGCGCAACAGUGGUAAAGACAAUGGGAUGCAACUCCGUAAGGAGAAGCUAAUCCUCGAAACUUUAUCGUAGUAUAGAUUGUGGGUUGCAACUCACCCACAUGACAACGGAAUUCCUAGUAAUCAGACUUCAUCAUAGUCUGGUGAAUAUGUCCCUG